CUCAGUAACGGCGAGUGAAGCGGCAACAGCUCAAAUUUGAAAUCUGGCGUCCGCCCGAGUUGUAAUUUGCAGAGGAUGCUUCGGGGCAGCGGCCGAUCUAAGUCCUUUGGAACAGGGCGUCACAGAGGGUGAGAAUCCCGUAUGUGAUCGGCUGGCACCCCACACGUAGCUCCUUCGACGAGUCGAGUUGUUUGGGAAUGCAGCUCUAAAUGGGAGGUAAAUUUCUUCUAAAGCUAAAUACCGGCCAGAGACCGAUAGCGCACAAGUAGAGUGAUCGAAAGAUGAAAAGCACUUUGGAAAGAGAGUCAAACAGCACGUGAAAUUGUUGAAAGGGAAGCGCAUGCAACCAGACUUGUCGGCGGUGUUCCCCCGGUCUUCUGACCGGGUCACUCGCCGCCGGCAGGCCAGCAUCGUUUGCGACCGCCGGAGAAAGGCGCAGGGAAUGUGGCUCCUCGGAGUGUUAUAGCCCUGCGCACAAUACGGUGCGUCGCGAGCGAGGUCCGCGCUUCGGCUAGGAUGCUGGCGUAAUGGUCGUAUGCGGCCCGUCUUGAAACACGGACCAAGGAGUCUACCAUCUAUGCGAGUGUUCGGGUGUCAAACCCCUACGCGCAAUGAAAGUGAACGGAGGUGGGAACGCAAGUGCACCAUCGACCGAUCCUGAUGUCUUCGGAUGGAUUUGAGUAAGAGCAUAGCUGGUGGGACCCGAAAGAUGGUGAUCUUUACUUGAAUAGGGUGAAGCCAGAGGAAACUCUGGUGGAGGCUCGCAGCGGUUCUGACGUGCAAAUCGAUCGUCAAAUUUGGGUAAAGGGGCGAAAGAC
This 818-nucleotide ribosomal RNA is filed under the name Microcyclospora pomicola. RNAcentral's name for it is "eukaryotic LSU rRNA". It matches the Rfam family "Eukaryotic large subunit ribosomal RNA", at positions 79 to 931 of the family's 3401-position model. Lineage: Eukaryota; Fungi; Ascomycota; Dothideomycetes; Capnodiales. The record is from RNAcentral.